UAAUACGUAGGGGGCAAGCGUUAUCCGGAUUUACUGGGUGUAAAGGGAGCGUAGACGGUAUGGUAAGUCAGAUGUGAAAGCCCGGGGCUCAACCCCGGGACUGCAUUUGAAACUAUCAGACUGGAGUGCAGGAGAGGUAAGUGGAAUUCCUAGUGUAGCGGUGAAAUGCGUAGAUAUUAGGAGGAACACCAGUGGCGAAGGCGGCUUACUGGACUGUAACUGACGUUGAGGCUCGAAAGCGUGGGGAGCAAACAGGA
RNAcentral lists this ribosomal RNA (257 nucleotides) under uncultured bacterium. RNAcentral describes it as "partial 16S ribosomal RNA". It matches the Rfam family "Bacterial small subunit ribosomal RNA", at positions 521 to 777 of the family's 1533-position model. The record is from RNAcentral.